This 236-nucleotide ribosomal RNA is filed under the name uncultured Staphylococcus sp. RNAcentral's name for it is "partial 16S ribosomal RNA". It matches the Rfam family "Bacterial small subunit ribosomal RNA", at positions 104 to 334 of the family's 1533-position model. Lineage: Bacteria; Bacillati; Bacillota; Bacilli; Caryophanales; Staphylococcaceae. The record is from RNAcentral.
GGGUGAGUAACACGUGGAUAACCUACCUAUAAGACUGGGAUAACUUCGGGAAACCGGAGCUAAUACCGGAUAGUAUAUUGAACCGCAUGGUUCAAUAGUGAAAGACGGUUUUGCUGUCACUUAUAGAUGGAUCCGCGCCGCAUUAGCUAGUUGGUAAGGUAACGGCUUACCAAGGCAACGAUGCGUAGCCGACCUGAGAGGGUGAUCGGCCACACUGGAACUGAGACACGGUCCAG